AACGUACGCUGGCGGCACGCCUAACACAUGCAAGUCGAACGAAGUAGCAAUACUUAGUGGCAGACGGGUGAGUAACAUGUAGGUAUCUGCCCUUUGGCCUGGAAUAACACGAGGAAACUUGUGCUAAUACCGGAUAAGUCUUUACGGAGAAAGCUUUAUGCACCAUUGGAUGAGCCUGCACUUGAUUAGUUUGUUGGUGGGGUAAUGGCCUACCAAGACUGUGAUCAAUAGCUGAUUUGAGAGGAUGAUCAGCCACAUUGGGACUGAGACACGGCCCAAACUCCUACGGGAGGCAGCAGUGGGGAAUCUUGCACAAUGGAGGAAACUCUGAUGCAGCGAUGCCGCGUGAGUGAAGAAGGCCCUUGGGUUGUAAAGCUCUUUCGUCGGGGAAGAAAAUGACUGUACCCGAAUAAGAAGGUCCGGCUAACUUCGUGCCAGCAGCCGCGGUAAUACGAAGGGACCUAGCGUAGUUCGGAAUUACUGGGCUUAAAGAGUUCGUAGGUGGUUGAAAAAGUUAGUGGUGAAAUCCCAGAGCUUAACUCUGGAACUGCCAUUAAAACUUUUCAACUAGAGUAUGAUAGAGGAAAGCAGAAUUUCUAGUGUAGAGGUGAAAUUCGUAGAUAUUAGAAAGAAUACCAAUUGCGAAGGCAGCUUUCUGGAUCGUUACUGACACUGAGGAACGAAAGCAUGGGUAGCGAAGAGGAUUAGAUACCCUCGUAGUCCAUGCCGUAAACGAUGUGUGUUAGACGUUGGAAAUUUAUUUUCAGUGUCGCAGGGAAACCGAUAAACACACCGCCUGGGGAGUACGACCGCAAGGUUAAAACUCAAAUGAAUUGACGGGGACCCGCACAAGUAGUGGAGCAUGUGGUUUAAUUCGAAGAUACGCGCAGAACCUUACCAACACUUGACAUGUUCGUCGCGACUCUAAGAGAUUAGAGUUUUCGGUUCGGCCGGACGAAACACAGGUGCUGCAUGGCUGUCGUCAGCUCGUGUCGUGAGAUGUUGGGUUAAGUCCCGCAACGAGCGCAACCCUCACUUUUAGUUGCCAUCAUUAAGUUGGGCACUCUGAAAGAACUGCCAGUGAUAAGCUGGAGGAAGGUGGGGAUGACGUCAAGUCCUCAUGGCCCUUACGUGUUGGGCUACACACGUGCUACAAUGGUAUCUACAACAGGAAGCAAGACUGCGAAGUUAAGCAAAUCCCUAAAAGAUACCUCAGUUCGGAUUGCACUCUGCAACUCGAGUGCAUGAAGCUGGAAUUACUAGUAAUCGUGGAUCAGCGUGCCACGGUGAAUGCGUUCCCGGGUCU
RNAcentral lists this ribosomal RNA (1306 nucleotides) under uncultured bacterium. RNAcentral describes it as "bacterial SSU rRNA". It matches the Rfam family "Bacterial small subunit ribosomal RNA", at positions 28 to 1381 of the family's 1533-position model. The record is from RNAcentral.